GUGUACGCUGGCGGCAUGCUUUAACAUGCAAGUCCAACGGCAGCACGGGCUUCGGCCUGGUGGCGAGUGGCGAACGGGUGAGUAAUGCAUCGGAACGUGCCCAUUUGUGGGGGAUAACGCGGCGAAAGUCGCGCUAAUACCGCAUACGCCCUGAGGGGGAAAGCGGGGGAUUCUUCGGAACCUCGCGCAAUUGGAGCGGCCGAUGUCAGAUUAGCUAGUUGGUAGGGUAAAGGCCUACCAAGGCGACGAUCUGUAGCGGGUCUGAGAGGAUGAUCCGCCACACUGGGACUGAGACACGGCCCAGACUCCUACGGGAGGCAGCAGUGGGGAAUUUUGGACAAUGGGGGCAACCCUGAUCCAGCCAUGCCGCGUGAGUGAAGAAGGCCUUCGGGUUGUAAAGCUCUUUCGGCCGGGAAGAAAUCGGCGACUCUAACAUAGUCGCUGGAUGACGGUACCGGACUAAGAAGCACCGGCUAACUACGUGCCAGCAGCCGCGGUAAUACGUAGGGUGCGACGUUAAUCGGAAUUUACUGGGCGUAAAGCGUGCGCAGGCGGUUUUGUAAGACAGAUGUGAAAUCCCCGGUCUUAACCUGGGAACUGCGUUUGUGACUGCAAGGCUAAAGUACGGCAGAGGGGGGUGGAAUUCC
Molecule: ribosomal RNA, 647 nt
Filed under: Thauera sp. HPC 1012
Lineage: Bacteria; Pseudomonadati; Pseudomonadota; Betaproteobacteria; Rhodocyclales; Zoogloeaceae
Description: bacterial SSU rRNA
Rfam family: Bacterial small subunit ribosomal RNA
Source: RNAcentral